This is a long non-coding RNA of Sinocyclocheilus grahami, 609 nucleotides long. RefSeq lists it as uncharacterized. The transcript is spliced from 3 exons. NCBI's taxonomy places the organism in Eukaryota, Metazoa, Chordata, Actinopteri, Cypriniformes, Cyprinidae. The record is from RefSeq and is a predicted model, not a curated record.
UGAGUGAGUAGCAUUCCUGCUAGCAAUCCAGACAGCUUUCGUUUGAAAAAGUAACAGUUUUAGUCACUGGAUGUUAGGGACACGCACAGAAGCUUUGGGUGGGAGCGCCAUGCCGUCACAUCGGAUCCUCCCACAGGCUUUUGGAGACGAGCAGGAUCUUAUGAUGGCGGCAGCGCGCGGACACUACAAUAAUGCAUUCACUUAGUUAGGCUGCUCAAAUGUGCUUCAUAGGACAUCACUGGAAAUCUGUUUAAAUGAUCAUCUUUAUAGGAAAUGAAAGGAUUGUGCCUGUAAAUGUCCAUACCUGUCGUAACACAUCGGAGCGCGUGUGUGUAAUUUCAGGGUAAUACCGAGUGCUUGGUAUCUGGUUCAGAAGCUCAUUCGUCAUGCAGACAAUAAAGAGAAAAUUGUUGCCCGAUGCUGGAAAUUUAUGGUUACCCUUCUUUGCCCUAAUAACUCACGCAGUGUCACGCGCUGACAGCUUGUGCAGAAAACAGUCACACAUCUUUACAUACUGAAGAAAGACUCUGUGUUAAGCUUGUUUAAAAUGGCCGAUAUCAACACUAGUGUCUGUUUGAAUCUGUGUACAGCAGUCUUCCCAGUAUUUGC